This 384-nucleotide ribosomal RNA is filed under the name uncultured Lactobacillus sp. Its description in RNAcentral is "bacterial SSU rRNA". It matches the Rfam family "Bacterial small subunit ribosomal RNA", at positions 162 to 525 of the family's 1533-position model. Lineage: Bacteria; Bacillati; Bacillota; Bacilli; Lactobacillales; Lactobacillaceae. The record is from RNAcentral.
GCUAAUACCGGAUAAGAAAGCAGAUCGCAUGAUCAGCUUUUAAAAGGCGGCGUAAGCUGUCGCUAUGGGGAUGGGCCCCCGCGGUGCAUUAGCUAGUUGGUAAAGGUAAAAGGGCUUACCAAGGCGAUGAUGCAUAGCCGAGUUGAGAGACUGAUCGGCCACAUUGGGACUGAGACACGGCCCAAACUCCUACGGGAGGCAGCAGUAGGGAAUCUUCCACAAUGGACGCAAGUCUGAUGGAGCAACGCCGCGUGAGUGAAGAAGGUUUUCGGAUCGUAAAGCUCUGUUGUUGGUGAAGAAGGAUAGAGGUAGUAACUGGCCUUUAUUUGACGGUAAUCAACCAGAAAGUCACGGGCUAACUACGUGCCAGCAGCCGCGGUAAAU